Molecule: ribosomal RNA, 465 nt
Filed under: uncultured bacterium
Lineage: Bacteria
Description: partial 16S ribosomal RNA
Rfam family: Bacterial small subunit ribosomal RNA
Source: RNAcentral
CCUACGGGUGGCAGCAGUGGGGAAUAUUGCGCAAUGGGCGAAAGCCUGACGCAGCGACGCCGCGUGAGGGAUGAAGGUCUUCGGAUCGUUAACCUCUGUCAGCAGGGAAGCACGGUCACUGUGCUAAUCAGCAGUGAAUUGACGGUACCUGCAAAGGAAGCACCGGCUAACUCCGUGCCAGCAGCCGCGGUAAUACGGAGGGUCCGAGCGUUAAUCGGAAUUACUGGGCGUAAAGCGGUCGUAGGCGGUAUGUCAAGUCAAGGGUGAAAUCCCCGGGCUCAACGUGGGAACUGCCUUUGAAACUGGCAGACUGGAGUGUGUGAGAGGAUAGUGGAAUUCGAGGUGUAGGAGUGAAAUCCGUAGAUAUCUGGAGGAACACCAGUGGCGAAGGCGACUAUCCGGCACAUCACUGACGCUGAGGAGCGAAAGCGUGGGUAGCAAACAGGAUUAGAUACCCCGGUAGUC